CACGUAGGGCGCAAGCGUUGUCCGGAAUUAUUGGGCGUAAAGAGCUCGUAGGCGGUCUGUUGCGUCCGCUGUGAAAACCCGGGGCUUAACCCUUGGCUUGCAGUGGAUACGGACAGACUAGAGGUAGGUAGGGGAGAAUGGAAUUCCCGGUGUAGCGGUGAAAUGCGCAGAUAUCGGGAGGAACACCGGUGGCGAAGGCGGUUCUCUGGGCCUUACCUGACGCUGAGGAGCGAAAGCGUGGGGAGCGAACAGG
This 253-nucleotide ribosomal RNA is filed under the name uncultured bacterium. RNAcentral's name for it is "partial 16S ribosomal RNA". It matches the Rfam family "Bacterial small subunit ribosomal RNA", at positions 524 to 776 of the family's 1533-position model. The record is from RNAcentral. RNAcentral also lists the same sequence under 1 other name.